AAUGAACGCUGGCGGCAUGCCUAACACAUGCAAGUCGAACGAAGGCUUCGGCCUUAGUGGCGCACGGGUGCGUAACGCGUGGGAAUCUGCCCUUUGGUUCGGAAUAACAGUUGGAAACGACUGCUAAUACCGGAUGAUGACGAAAGUCCAAAGAUUUAUCGCCAGAGGAUGAGCCCGCGUAGGAUUAGCUAGUUGGUGUGGUAAAGGCGCACCAAGGCGACGAUCCUAGCUGGUCUGAGAGGAUGAUCAGCCACACUGGGACUGAGACACGGCCCAGACUCCUACGGGAGGCAGCAGUGGGGAAUAUUGGACAAUGGGCGAAAGCCUGAUCCAGCAAUGCCGCGUGAGUGAUGAAGGCCUUAGGGUUGUAAAGCUCUUUUACCCGGGAUGAUAAUGACAGUACCGGGAGAAUAAGCUCCGGCUAACUCCGUGCCAGCAGCCGCGGUAA
RNAcentral lists this ribosomal RNA (448 nucleotides) under uncultured bacterium. Its description in RNAcentral is "partial 16S ribosomal RNA". It matches the Rfam family "Bacterial small subunit ribosomal RNA", at positions 29 to 523 of the family's 1533-position model. The record is from RNAcentral.